This 2902-nucleotide ribosomal RNA is filed under the name Klebsiella pneumoniae. RNAcentral describes it as "23S ribosomal RNA". It matches the Rfam family "Bacterial large subunit ribosomal RNA". The record is from RNAcentral. Lineage: Bacteria; Pseudomonadati; Pseudomonadota; Gammaproteobacteria; Enterobacterales; Enterobacteriaceae.
GGUUAAGCGACUAAGCGUACACGGUGGAUGCCCUGGCAGUCAGAGGCGAUGAAGGACGUGCUAAUCUGCGAAAAGCGUCGGUAAGGUGAUAUGAACCGUUAUAACCGGCGAUGUCCGAAUGGGGAAACCCAGUGCAAUUCGUUGCACUAUCGUUAACUGAAUACAUAGGUUAACGAGGCGAACCGGGGGAACUGAAACAUCUAAGUACCCCGAGGAAAAGAAAUCAACCGAGAUUCCCCCAGUAGCGGCGAGCGAACGGGGAGCAGCCCAGAGUCUGAAUCAGCUUGUGUGUUAGUGGAACGGUCUGGAAAGUCCGACGGUACAGGGUGAUAGUCCCGUACACCAAAAUGCACAGGCUGUGAACUCGAAGAGUAGGGCGGGACACGUGGUAUCCUGUCUGAAUAUGGGGGGACCAUCCUCCAAGGCUAAAUACUCCUGACUGACCGAUAGUGAACCAGUACCGUGAGGGAAAGGCGAAAAGAACCCCGGCGAGGGGAGUGAAAAAGAACCUGAAACCGUGUACGUACAAGCAGUGGGAGCACCUUCGGGUGUGACUGCGUACCUUUUGUAUAAUGGGUCAGCGACUUAUAUUCUGUAGCAAGGUUAACCGUAUAGGGGAGCCGCAGGGAAACCGAGUCUUAACUGGGCGUUAAGUUGCAGGGUAUAGACCCGAAACCCGGUGAUCUAGCCAUGGGCAGGUUGAAGGUUGGGUAACACUAACUGGAGGACCGAACCGACUAAUGUUGAAAAAUUAGCGGAUGACUUGUGGCUGGGGGUGAAAGGCCAAUCAAACCGGGAGAUAGCUGGUUCUCCCCGAAAGCUAUUUAGGUAGCGCCUCGUGAACUCAUCUUCGGGGGUAGAGCACUGUUUCGGCUAGGGGGUCAUCCCGACUUACCAACCCGAUGCAAACUACGAAUACCGAAGAAUGUUAUCACGGGAGACACACGGCGGGUGCUAACGUCCGUCGUGAAGAGGGAAACAACCCAGACCGCCAGCUAAGGUCCCAAAGUCAUGGUUAAGUGGGAAACGAUGUGGGAAGGCACAGACAGCCAGGAUGUUGGCUUAGAAGCAGCCAUCAUUUAAAGAAAGCGUAAUAGCUCACUGGUCGAGUCGGCCUGCGCGGAAGAUGUAACGGGGCUAAACCAUGCACCGAAGCUGCGGCAGCGACACUAUGUGUUGUUGGGUAGGGGAGCGUUCUGUAAGCCUGCGAAGGUGUGCUGUGAGGCAUGCUGGAGGUAUCAGAAGUGCGAAUGCUGACAUAAGUAACGAUAAAGCGGGUGAAAAGCCCGCUCGCCGGAAGACCAAGGGUUCCUGUCCAACGUUAAUCGGGGCAGGGUGAGUCGACCCCUAAGGCGAGGCCGAAAGGCGUAGUCGAUGGGAAACAGGUUAAUAUUCCUGUACUUGGUGUUACUGCGAAGGGGGGACGGAGAAGGCUAUGUUAGCCGGGCGACGGUUGUCCCGGUUUAAGCAUGUAGGCUGGUUGUCCAGGCAAAUCCGGAUAAUCAAGGCUGAGGUGUGAUGACGAGGCACUACGGUGCUGAAGUAACAAAUGCCCUGCUUCCAGGAAAAGCCUCUAAGCAUCAGGUAACAUUAAAUCGUACCCCAAACCGACACAGGUGGUCAGGUAGAGAAUACCAAGGCGCUUGAGAGAACUCGGGUGAAGGAACUAGGCAAAAUGGUGCCGUAACUUCGGGAGAAGGCACGCUGGUGUGUAGGUGAAGCCCCUGCGGGUGGAGCUGAGACCAGUCGAAGAUACCAGCUGGCUGCAACUGUUUAUUAAAAACACAGCACUGUGCAAACACGAAAGUGGACGUAUACGGUGUGACGCCUGCCCGGUGCCGGAAGGUUAAUUGAUGGGGUUAUCCGUAAGGAGAAGCUCUUGAUCGAAGCCCCGGUAAACGGCGGCCGUAACUAUAACGGUCCUAAGGUAGCGAAAUUCCUUGUCGGGUAAGUUCCGACCUGCACGAAUGGCGUAAUGAUGGCCAGGCUGUCUCCACCCGAGACUCAGUGAAAUUGAACUCGCUGUGAAGAUGCAGUGUACCCGCGGCAAGACGGAAAGACCCCGUGAACCUUUACUAUAGCUUGACACUGAACAUUGAGCCUUGAUGUGUAGGAUAGGUGGGAGGCUUUGAAGCGUGGACGCCAGUCUGCGUGGAGCCAACCUUGAAAUACCACCCUUUAAUGUUUGAUGUUCUAACGUUGGCCCCUGACCGGGGUUGCGGACAGUGUCUGGUGGGUAGUUUGACUGGGGCGGUCUCCUCCCAAAGCGUAACGGAGGAGCACGAAGGUUAGCUAAUCCUGGUCGGACAUCAGGAGGUUAGUGCAAUGGCAUAAGCUAGCUUGACUGCGAGCGUGACGGCGCGAGCAGGUGCGAAAGCAGGUCAUAGUGAUCCGGUGGUUCUGAAUGGAAGGGCCAUCGCUCAACGGAUAAAAGGUACUCCGGGGAUAACAGGCUGAUACCGCCCAAGAGUUCAUAUCGACGGCGGUGUUUGGCACCUCGAUGUCGGCUCAUCACAUCCUGGGGCUGAAGUAGGUCCCAAGGGUAUGGCUGUUCGCCAUUUAAAGUGGUACGCGAGCUGGGUUUAGAACGUCGUGAGACAGUUCGGUCCCUAUCUGCCGUGGGCGCUGGAGAAUUGAGGGGGGCUGCUCCUAGUACGAGAGGACCGGAGUGGACGCAUCACUGGUGUUCGGGUUGUCAUGCCAAUGGCACUGCCCGGUAGCUAAAUGCGGAAGAGAUAAGUGCUGAAAGCAUCUAAGCACGAAACUUGCCCCGAGAUGAGUUCUCCCUGAGACUUUAAGUCUCCUGAAGGAACGUUAAAGACGAUGACGUUGAUAGGCCGGGUGUGUAAGCGCAGCGAUGCGUUGAGCUAACCGGUACUAAUGAACCGUGAGGCUUAACCUU